This 2707-nucleotide long non-coding RNA is filed under the name Sus scrofa (pig). RNAcentral's name for it is "lncRNA (ENSSSCG00040002171.1)". Lineage: Eukaryota; Metazoa; Chordata; Mammalia; Artiodactyla; Suidae. The record is from RNAcentral.
UCCUGCCUCUCCAUAACCCUGGCUAACGGCUCCGAUGGGGAGCUCCCGAAGGGAGACCUCCCUACUCCCCCAGCCCCGAGUGCAGCCCCAUCAAAGCGGCAGGGCUCUCGGCAUGGAGAUGGGGCCGCUAAUCCAGUUGCUCUGACCCAUUUUGGGCGAUAGGGUCUGGGGAGGCCCAGGAACGGGGCACGGGGAAGCCCGGAGGUCCCUCCAGCAGGUCGGGCGAGGACGCUAAAGGGCACCUGUUGCGGCGCGCGGUGCGGUGACUGCGGCGCACCUGAGCUAGGCCGGGCCCAGGGCGGCGGCGGGCGCACAGCUGAGCCGAGGUUCCAGGCCAGGCCCGCGCCUUGGGCUUCCGCCGGGUCAGCUGACCGCCCAGUACGGAACUAAAAGGCCGGCGCGAACUGCCUGCCUGCCUGCCGCUGCCGCCUCCGCGCUCCUGCUCCGCGCUCCGCCCUCGGUACCGCGAGUCCGCCCCGUCGCCAUGGCUGGGCUUGUGGUCAGUGGAACUCAAGUGUCCUACAUAGGCCAGGACUGCAGAGAGAUUCCAGAGCACCUCGGCAGGGACUAUGGACACUUUGCAAAGAGGCUCGACCUGAGCUUUAACCUUCUGAGGUAUGUAACCUUCACAAGACGCAGGCCAGGCCUGGGAGGCCCAGUCCACCCAGUAAUGGCCUGCAGAUCAAAGUCAAACGUCCCAGUGGCAUCGCACCCCUAAGGCCUUGACGCUGCUGCACGUGAAUCUCCGGCUCCCCUCUUGGUGCCCUUGAAGACGCAUCAAGCAUAAGCAUCCUGUCUUACGUGUGUCCCUAUGAGAGGGCCGUUGGUGUCCUCUUGUUCUUUUCUCACUGAUGCCCUUGCGGACAAGUGGCAAUACUUUUGGGGAAGGAGUGAGAUAAAGCCAGCUGGUGUCUUGGGGGUGUUAGGAAUGCUUUCCUGGGUAACCCCAUCUCCCAGGUAGCAUGCGUGCGUCUUCUCUCUCUCUUUUUUUUUUUCUUUGCCUUUUAAUGAAUUGGAACCUUAAAUAUUUGUGAUGCUGAUUUCUCCCAGAUGGUAUUUCAGAGUAAUUGAAACACUGCUGCCAUGGGGGUGGAUGGGAGGGAAACUCAAACAACUGUUCCAGUCUUGGCAGAAGGUAAGGGUGCUGGUCUGUAUUCUCCCAGUGGAGACAACGGUUAUUUUCUUCCUAAAAGGUUUUGAAUUGCAACGGGCUUGGGGGCCUGGCCGAGGGAAGGAGGAGGUGCCCGGAAAGCCCGUGUCAGUGGGAUAAAUGGACAGGGAUCUGGGGGGUGGCUUGUCCUAACCGGUACCUCUACACAGAGCUUGGCCCUAAGUGUCCCUCUGAAAGCCGCCUGUCCUCUGAAUGGAGCCAUUGGUCUCGAGUGGAAGGAGAGAUGAGGAGCUGGAAUCCCACCCUAGGGCUCUGAUGCUUUGCUUCUUCCAUCUUGUGGAGUCUCCACUCUGAGUCGGGACCCUCUGGAAUGAGGAGGAUGGGACAAAACUCGGUGCUUGAAGGCACCAGAGGGUAGAGGGGACUGUGAGUUGAAGCUGAGCCGGCAGAGUUUCUUGGUGGUGCUCAGGCGCAAGGCCAGGCUAGGAUGCAUCGUCCCGACAGAAGGGGCCUCCAGGGGCUUGCGUGGGAAGAGUAUGGGCAAUGCACGCGUUCUCUUCCUGACUCCCAAGGGUUUGUAUGCUUCUGGGGAGACGGGGAAACAGAAAAGUCACCAAGAAAUGGAGUGAUGAGAGGAUGCCAAACAAACGCUGCCUCUAAAGAAAUUAAGGGUGGUGUUGGGUCCUUAUGCAAGGAGGGGACAGAAUAUACAGCCUCGAUAGGACAGUGCCUGAGUCACGUGUGCUGCUCAAAGAGCUCCCCCGUGCAGACUCAGAUAAAGUGUUUCUGUGGGCACGGAGAGGCAUUCUUCCCAUGUGACUGGCCUCUGGGGACCUGGGGCUUUGUGGCUCAGGCAGUGGCUGCUUUGCUGCCGGGAGCCCGGAUGUGGUUUUGAGAAGGCUGGCCCUGUGAAGGGGUGUCAGCAGUCAUAGGUCAUGGGACUGGGCUUGUUGGGUCUGAGGAAACGGCCGUCUUUGUUGCUCUCUGGGUCCUGCCUCCCUUGGGCAGAAAAGGGGCUGGGAUUCUAGGAGGCGUGUGGGUGUGGGAUGACAGUUCAGUGGUGAGAAGGGGCUCUUGGCUCUUCUGAGGGGCUGGAUCUAUUGGGAAAUGGCAGGUCUUGGAGCCCGGAAAUUUUUGGUAAAGUGGAGAUUCAGAGGAGGAGAAGUUAACAUUUUUCUUUUUCUGUGUUAAGUUGGAGGAGUGACCGCUUCUGGCCAGGAAGGAACCUAUUCUUAGCCAUGUUGGGUCAGUGUGUGACCUGCAUCCUGGGCUGGGGCAGGAGUGAUCCGUGGAGCCACGAGUUCUGAUGGGAGGGUUUAUAUUAGGACUUGGUUAAACUGGACAGAGUUCCAGACCAGAAGAGAGAAACACAGUGCUGGUUUGACAUGGUUAUGUUGGGACUGGCUUCUCUUAGAUGGUCUUAUUUACCUAACCCCGGGGGGCGAGGGGAGGUGGCACUAUUUCUCUCUGGUGUCAGAGGAAGAUGGAAGCUUACUCAGGCACUGGUCUCUGUCUUUGCCUUCAGGUGGAAUAAAAUUCAAAGAUCAUUUAGAUCCUUAACUCAUUUCUCUUAAAAAAAAAAAAAAAAAAAAAAAA